Eriocheir sinensis (Chinese mitten crab) is the source of this 465-nucleotide long non-coding RNA. RefSeq lists it as uncharacterized. The transcript has 3 exons. Lineage: Eukaryota; Metazoa; Arthropoda; Malacostraca; Decapoda; Varunidae. The record is from RefSeq and is a predicted model, not a curated record.
CGCCUCGUCCUCGCCCUCCAGGCCUCGCGAGCACCAUUAAUGAGACGGACGAGGCCACCAGCGGCUGCCCGUCACCACUACGACCUCCCCGAGUAUCCUUGCCCCGCCCCGCCCCACCUGCCGCUCUCCAAAGGGCACGCCACUCACCAUGAAGACGACCACGACGACAAGGAACCUAACGACAAGGGAACCCUACGACUUCAAGCUCGAGUUACUUUCGGGGAGAGCGAAAAGAGGAAGAGAGGCAAAAGUUAGUCUAUCGUCCCCACCACCACCAUCACCACUUCCAUCGCCGCUGCAUUCCUCAGUUUUCCAGGGCUCCGAGAGGAUUUCUUGAGGCCUGGGAGGAUUAAAAACACUUUGUGGGAGGAAGAGAAAACUCCGUGUGCCCGCCGUUCGCCGCGCCCUGCCCCUCGGUAUCGGCUCACAGACCAGCACUUUCCAGGUCUUGUCGCUCAUUCCCCG